CAGCAGCCGCGGGAACACGUAGGGUGCAAGCGUUAAUCGGAAUUACUGGGCGUAAAGCGUGCGCAGGCGGUUAUAUAAGACAGAUGUGAAAUCCCCGGGCUCAACCUGGGAACUGCAUUUGUGACUGUAUAGCUAGAGUACGGCAGAGGGGGAUGGAAUUCCGCGUGUAGCAGUGAAAUGCGUAGAUAUGCGGAGGAACACCGAUGGCGAAGGCAAUCCCCUGGGCCUGUACUGACGCUCAUGCACGAAAGCGUGGGGAGCAAACAGGAUUAGAGACCCCUGUAGUCCCUGUCUCUUAUAC
Molecule: ribosomal RNA, 301 nt
Filed under: uncultured bacterium
Lineage: Bacteria
Description: partial 16S ribosomal RNA
Rfam family: Bacterial small subunit ribosomal RNA
Source: RNAcentral